This 492-nucleotide ribosomal RNA is filed under the name uncultured bacterium. RNAcentral's name for it is "partial 16S ribosomal RNA". It matches the Rfam family "Bacterial small subunit ribosomal RNA", at positions 29 to 507 of the family's 1533-position model. The record is from RNAcentral.
AGUGAACGCUGGCGGUAGGCCUAACACAUGCAAGUCGAACGGCAGCACAGUAAGAGCUUGCUCUUACGGGUGGCGAGUGGCGGACGGGUGAGGAAUACAUCGGAAUCUACUUUUUCGUGGGGGAUAACGUAGGGACACUUACGCUAAUACCGCAUACGACCUACGGGUGCAAGCAGGGGAUCUUCGGACCUUGCGCGAUUGAAUGAGCCGAUGUCGGAUUAGCUAGUUGGCGGGGUAAAGGCCCACCAAGGCGACGAUCCGUAGCUGGUCUGAGAGGAUGAUCAGCCACACUGGAACUGAGACACGGUCCAGACUCCUACGGGAGGCAGCAGUGGGGAAUAUUGGACAAUGGGCGCAAGCCUGAUCCAGCCAUACCGCGUGGGUGAAGAAGGCCUUCGGGUUGUAAAGCCCUUUUGUUGGGAAAGAAAAGCAGCAGGUUAAUACCCCGCUGUUCUGACGGUACCCAAAGAAUAAGCACCGGCUAACUUCGUG